AUAGCGUAUAUUAAAGUUGUUGCAGUUAAAAAGCUCGUCGUUGAAUUUCGGGGUUCAUACAUUGGUCGGGCUUUUUGGUCUGUACUUAUGUAAUGGAUUCCUACCUUCUGAAUAACCAGCAUGCCAUUAAUUUGGUGCGCCGGGGAAGCAGAACUGUUACCUUGAAAAAAUUAGAGUGCUUAAAGCAGGCUAUCGCCUGAAUACAUUAGCAUGGAAUAAUGAAAUAGGACGGCAUGGUUCUAUUUUGUUGGUUUCUAGGAUCACCGUAAUGAUUAAUAGGGAUAGUUGGGGGCAUUAGUAUUCAAUUGUCAGAGGUGAAAUUCUUGGAUUUAUUGAAGACUAACUUCUG
Molecule: ribosomal RNA, 349 nt
Filed under: uncultured eukaryote
Lineage: Eukaryota
Description: SSU rRNA
Rfam family: Eukaryotic small subunit ribosomal RNA
Source: RNAcentral